Molecule: ribosomal RNA, 468 nt
Filed under: uncultured bacterium
Lineage: Bacteria
Description: partial 16S ribosomal RNA
Rfam family: Bacterial small subunit ribosomal RNA
Source: RNAcentral
GACGAACGCUGGCGGCGUGCUUAACACAUGCAAGUCGAACGGAAAGGCCCUGCGUUUGUGGGGGGCUCGAGUGGCGAACGGGUGAGUAACACGGGAGUAACCUGCCCUUGACUUUGGGAUAACUUCAGGAAACUGGGGCUAAUACCGGAUAGGAGCUCCUGCUGCAUGGUGGGGGUUGGAAAGUUUCGGCGGUUGGGGAUGGACUCGCGGCUUAUGAGCUUGUUUGUGGGGUAGUGGCUUACCAAGGCUUUGACGGAUAGCCGGCCUGAGAGGGUGGCCGGCCACAUUGGGACUGAGAUACGGCCCAGACUCCUACGGGAGGCAGCAGUGGGGAAUAUUGCACAAUGGGCGGGAGCCUGAUGCAGCAACGCCGCGUGCGGGAUGACGGCCUUCGGGUUGUAAACCGCUUUCGCCUGUGACGAAGCGUGAGUGACGGUAAUGGGUAAAGAAGCACCGGCUAACUACGUG